RNAcentral lists this ribosomal RNA (506 nucleotides) under Bacillus sp. M4-C10. RNAcentral describes it as "bacterial SSU rRNA". It matches the Rfam family "Bacterial small subunit ribosomal RNA", at positions 1 to 498 of the family's 1533-position model. Lineage: Bacteria; Bacillati; Bacillota; Bacilli; Caryophanales; Bacillaceae. The record is from RNAcentral.
UGAGCUUGAUCCUGGCUCAGGACGAACGCGGCGGCGUGCCUAAUACAUGCAAGUCGAGCGGACUGAUGGGAGCUUGCUCCCUGAUGUCAGCGGCGGACGGGUGAGUAACACGUGGGCAACCUGCCUGUAAGACUGGGAUAACUCCGGGAAACCGGGGCUAAUACCGGAUAACCCGUUCCACCUCAUGGUGGAGCGGUAAAAGAUGGCCUCUGGCUAUCACUUACAGAUGGGCCCGCGGCGCAUUAGCUAGUUGGUAAGGUAACGGCUUACCAAGGCGACGAUGCGUAGCCGACCUGAGAGGGUGAUCGGCCACACUGGGACUGAGACACGGCCCAGACUCCUACGGGAGGCAGCAGUAGGGAAUCUUCCGCAAUGGACGAAAGUCUGACGGAGCAACGCCGCGUGAGUGAUGAAGGUUUUCGGAUCGUAAAGCUCUGUUGUUAGGGAAGAACAAGUGCCGUUUGAAUAAGGCGGCACCUGACCGGUACCUACCCGAAGCACCGACU